AGAGUUUGAUCAUGGCUCAGAACGAACGCUGGCGGCGUGGAUAAGACAUGCAAGUCGAACGCUGAUUGUCGGGUAGCAAUAUUCGGCAGUCGGAGUGGCGCAAGGGUGCGUAACACGUGGGUAAUCUGCCAUGAAGUUUGGGAUAACUCGCUGAAAGGCGAGCUAAUACCGGAUGUGAAAAUUGGAAGGCAUCUUUUGAUUUUCAAAGCUGGGGACCGUAAGGCCUGGCGCUUCAUGAUGAACCCGCGGCCUAUCAGCUAGUUGGUGAGGUAACGGCCCACCAAGGCUAAGACGGGUAGCUGGUCUGAGAGGACGACCAGCCACACUGGAACUGAGACACGGUCCAGACACCUACGGGUGGCAGCAGUCGAGAAUUUUUCACAAUGGGCGCAAGCCUGAUGGAGCGACGCCGCGUGGGGGAUGAAUGGCUUCGGCCCGUAAACCCCUGUCAUUUGCGAACAAACGUUAUUAUUUAAAAGAUGAUGACCUGAUUGUAGCGAAAGAGGAAGGGACGGCUAACUCUGUGCCAGCAGCCGCGGUAAUACAGAGGUCCCAAGCGUUGUUCGGAUUCACUGGGCGUAAAGGGUGCGUAGGUGGCGGGGUAAGUCGGAUGUGAAAUCUCCGAGCUCAACUCGGAAAUGGCAUUGGAAACUACCUUGCUCGAGGGUUGGAGGGGGGACUGGAAUACUUGGUGUAGCAGUGAAAUGCGUAGAUAUCAAGUGGAACACCAGUGGCGAAGGCGAGUCCCUGGACAACUCCUGACACUGAGGCACGAAAGCUAGGGGAGCAAACAGGAUUAGAUACCCUAGUAGUCC
This 815-nucleotide ribosomal RNA is filed under the name uncultured bacterium. RNAcentral describes it as "bacterial SSU rRNA". It matches the Rfam family "Bacterial small subunit ribosomal RNA", at positions 8 to 796 of the family's 1533-position model. The record is from RNAcentral.